GUGCUCGCUUCGGCAGCACAUAUACUAAAAGAGAUUAGCAUGGCCCCUGCACAAGGAUGACACACAAAUUUGUGAAGCGUUCCAUAUUUUU
This is a small nuclear RNA of Mus spicilegus (steppe mouse), 91 nucleotides long. The record is from Ensembl. Lineage: Eukaryota; Metazoa; Chordata; Mammalia; Rodentia; Muridae.